UACGAAGGGUGCAAGCGUUAAUCGGAAUUACUGGGCGUAAAGCGUGCGUAGGCGGUUUGUUAAGUCUGCUGUGAAAUCCCCGGGCUUAACCUGGGAACUGCAUUGGUGACUGGCAGGCUUUGAGUGUGGCAGAGGGAGGUAGAAUUCCACGUGUAGCAGUGAAAUGCGUAGAGAUGUGGAGGAACACCGGUGGCGAAGGCGGUUCUCUGGGCAUUACCUGACGCUGAGGAGCGAAAGUGUGGGGAGCGAACAGG
This 254-nucleotide ribosomal RNA is filed under the name uncultured bacterium. RNAcentral describes it as "partial 16S ribosomal RNA". It matches the Rfam family "Bacterial small subunit ribosomal RNA", at positions 524 to 776 of the family's 1533-position model. The record is from RNAcentral.